This is a non-coding RNA of Epilithonimonas sp., 92 nucleotides long. NCBI's taxonomy places the organism in Bacteria, Pseudomonadati, Bacteroidota, Flavobacteriia, Flavobacteriales, Weeksellaceae. The record is from Rfam.
UUCAAGCCUCCGCAAUAGCGAUAGUAACGGUUAUCCUUUUGUCUUGUUUUGCAAAAGAAGACAAAAGAUAAUAGUGGAUAGCGCGACCCGAG